RNAcentral lists this unclassified non-coding RNA (253 nucleotides) under uncultured Alphaproteobacteria bacterium. Its description in RNAcentral is "contains 16S-23S intergenic spacer region". It matches the Rfam family "Bacterial small subunit ribosomal RNA", at positions 524 to 776 of the family's 1533-position model. Lineage: Bacteria; Pseudomonadati; Pseudomonadota; Alphaproteobacteria. The record is from RNAcentral.
UACGAAGGGGGCUAGCGUUGUUCGGAAUUACUGGGCGUAAAGCGCACGUAGGCGGAUACUUAAGUUAGGGGUGAAAUCCCAGGGCUCAACCCUGGAACUGCCUUUAAUACUGGGUAUCUUGAGUUCGAGAGAGGUGAGUGGAAUUGCGAGUGUAGAGGUGAAAUUCGUAGAUAUUCGCAGGAACACCAGUGGCGAAGGCGGCUCACUGGCUCGAUACUGACGCUGAGGUGCGAAAGCGUGGGGAGCAAACAGG